GUGAAACGGUCUAGAGAAGAUGUGAAGAAUGUUAUGCUACCCGUAAGAUUGUUCAGCAUGAUGGAUUUGGUGGUGCGUCAGGGAUGGUCCGGGGAGGUAUAUCCAUAGAGGGAACAGGGAAUAGCACCCUGACUGCCAUUAGGUAUUAGGAUGAAAUUCUUCGGCCCACUGUCAGAGCCUACACUUGUGCAGUGGGUCCUGGGUUCCUCAUGGUGUACGACAAUACAUCAAUAAUACCAUUGACUGAGCUCAUGCUCGCCUGACCCAAAUCUAGUAGACCACUUCUGGGACAUUAUGCUUCGGUAUAUCCUUUGUUGCCAAGUCUGAAGGACCACCUGUCCAGGACUUCAGUGAUGCCCUGAUCUAGGUCUGGGAGGCGAUCCUCCAGGACACCAGCUGUUGUCUCAUUUCGAUCAUUCCCUUAUGUUGUCAAGAAGGCAUACAAGCUCACAAACUCCUGAGUAUCAUUUUGAAUUGGUGCAUUACAUUGCUGCAGUCCAGUUUUGGCAAAAUGCACUAAGCUGCUGUAUAAUUUUUUUUCACUUUGAUUUUCAGGGUGUCUUAAAUUGAGCCCUCUGUAUGUUGAUAAUUUACUUGUCCAUCAAAUGAUGUGGCACCUUUUUUUUUUUCUUUUUCUUUUUUGUGUCCCGUUUGGAUCUUUAGCCAUCAGAAUUGUUGUCUUAAAGCCAAGAAAGAUGCCAAGCGGAUUUAUUUUACCAAGUGGAUCAUCAUGGCCUUGCCAUAUUGGUCCAUUUGAUUUACCUUUAUUAUAAUUAUGAAUUUAUUUUAUUUUCAGUUGCUACAAACAGGACAGAUGGCACCUUUUUGUUCCAAACACGCCCAGUCUAUAUCAGUAUAGAUUUUCAGCAUGAUUUUUUACCCAGUGAGAUCUGAUGUGUUUUCAAAGUGCUCCUCUAAUGUUUUUGAGCAGUAUUUAUACAUAUGAAACAUUUUAAUAUAAAUGUUUGUUUUAAUAUAAAGAAUAAAGAGUUGAGGGAUGGCUCAAGACUUUUGCACACAUAUCCUAUAGUGUAGGACAUUUUCCUCCAUUAUACUUACAACGCAGAUUUAAGUCAUCACUAAAAAUCAGUUGAAGUCCUUCUUUAAAUGUUCAGUGGGUAAUUGUUAAGGAAAGGCCCUGAAAGUCAGAAGAGAUUAGUCAAAGCUUUAAUGUUUUGACUGGUACUGGAUAUUAGGACUCCUUAUCCUGCCUUGGCAUUAAUGCUGCUUCAGAAAGAUGCACAGAGAAUGUCC
Astatotilapia calliptera (eastern happy) is the source of this 1254-nucleotide long non-coding RNA. Lineage: Eukaryota; Metazoa; Chordata; Actinopteri; Cichliformes; Cichlidae. The record is from Ensembl.